AAUUAUAGAACUAUUAAACAAAAGUGCGAUGGAAAUAAGCUCCUCAAAAUAAACAAAUAAUAAACUCCAAAACAGCGUUCGUUCUGGUGAUUGUUUUGGAUUUUUCUUUGGCGCCCGUAGGCAUAACUAUUGCAAUUCCGACGGGGUGAAGAUCGAAUCCAAACUCUCCAUUCUCUACAAUGGUGAAGAUCGAAGAGAUCAACGAAUCCGUUGUGACCAAAACGAGUAGAAAGAGGAAUCAUGGAUCGACCAGAUUCUUUGUCUUCCUUGAUUAUUUUUUCAUCUUCAUGUUCCUCGGAUUCCUCUGCUUCAUCGUUUUCCAGAUUCUUAGCCUUUGAUUCAUCACAUUCUCCUUGUUCUCAACCAGGAUACUUCUGUGACAUAGCAAGGCUUCCAUUACAGAUAUUCAAGUUCAAAGGUCAAAUGUCAUAUUUGAUCAGACCCUAAAUUUAACGCUUGAAUUUAUUAACUUUCUGUGUUGCAAAACUUUUGCUCUGGAAUCCCAAAAUUUGCACCAUUUAUCUAGUCUGUUACAGUUGAUCUUUUGUUAACAUAUCCUUAUCCUACUUUAAUAAUUUCAUUA
This is a long non-coding RNA of Medicago truncatula (barrel medic), 583 nucleotides long. RefSeq lists it as uncharacterized. NCBI's taxonomy places the organism in Eukaryota, Viridiplantae, Streptophyta, Magnoliopsida, Fabales, Fabaceae. The record is from RefSeq and is a predicted model, not a curated record. The transcript has 2 exons.